GCGCGUAUGGCUCGUAUCAUUUACGAGGCACGCGACGGGAGCCCUGAGUGGCUCUCUAUCGAAAGCUGCUCUAAACCCAGGUCUCACUUGGAGAUCGAUCUCACUCGGAGAUCACGAGUCUGUUGUAGAGUGGCGUCAUCUUACGUCCAGUCCACCGAACCGGUGUGCACAAUUGCUGGCGGUGGAUACCAGACUCCCCCCACGGGUCGUCAUGUGCGAGGCAAGGUCGGGGAUAAGAUGUCACGGCAGCAAUUGAAGAUAAAAUUGAGUUUCUUCAUGUAAAUGCUAGCAGGCUGCUACAUUUGCACAAUGAGUGAGUGCAAAGCUUCUCUUUAAUUUAUACUUAUCCUUAUCCAAGCAGACUGUUACCUAAUACGUCUGAGUCUAUAUUCACUUCAUCCAGGAAAAUGCUUCAAAAUCGCGUUUUUCGUCGGUAAAUAGCAUUGUAACCUUGCGUCAGUUGACACAAGAUUUCACUGCCGCAUCCGGAAUCUCAGUGCAUAGCUGUCUAUGCAUCAUGAGCUUAGGUAUUGUUUCCUUUUUCGUUAGGUCAUGCCUCAACUUGUAGCGCUUAAUCGCUCAUGCCACAACAAAGUUUGCGGACUUGUUAAAGGUUAAAAGAAAAUAUAUUUCCUUCAACAGAUGUCCGUCAAAUGAGGCUACAAAUGAGCUGUUUUCUUCUGCCAAUUAUGUUACUAUAGCACGUUGCUAAUGGAAGGCGGUCAUGAAUAAGACUAUUUGCAGUUGUGCCUCAUCAUCAUUUAUUUGCCAAAUACAAUUUCAAUUGCUACUGUUAUCCCCGGCUAUAGUGUCUACGGUGGCGAGCUUUCUCCGCGGACCUUCAACUUCAAGACCUUCUACUUCAAGACCUUCUACUUCAAGACCUUCUACUUCUAGACAACUAAAGGGAUAUUCGCGUCAUACUGUACUCUCGAUGACCUGCAUGUCGGGCGUGCCAUGUCCUGAGGAGCGUUGUUUUCAAUACCCUCAGUGCACAUACUGCACCAGACUAUAUUUACGGACGUUGACUGUUUGUUUUAGGCACUGUUUCAAGCAUUGUACGAUGGCCGAAAACAAUAGUAUUUGUUAACGUUUUCAAGUGCCAUUCGGAAUAUCCGAAACUACGACGCAAUGUUAGUUGGAAAUAACGUAUCUAGUUAAUCAUGUUAUCGCAUGAUGUUCUUGUUCAUUGGCAAACAUUAUUUCAGCAGUCGAUACGUCCUCCAAACUUCAGUAACUGUUACUAUAUAGUCCCCGUUCGUCACAAACAACCGUUGACAUUUUGUCAACCUCAAAUUCGAAUAUAUUAACCGUUUACACGCACGAGAAUAUCCCUUUAUCCAAACUAGCAAGUGUGUCUACUGUUUUCUUACUAGGCAAACAAAAGUUUGUCACAGCAUGUGCGCAGUUCACUUUACCUAUGUGCAUUCAUACUAAAAGCCAUUCGUCCACAUGCAAGUUAUUUAUUUGCGCUAUUGACGUAAGCUUUCAUGAAGGCCAAACCAAUGCUGAUUCGUCAAUGCUGAUUGUCAGCUUGAAAGUAAAGAUGAGCAAAGUGGUUCAACUGAAUCUUAUGGUUGCAGUAGGGCAUAUUAGAAGUAAGUGACAAGUAUAUGUCAGCAAUUGUUUAUGCUUCUUAACCCUAGAUACUUUUGAUUCGAUCCUUUGGGUGAUGACGUAAUGUGGCAGAAAACAGUAGACACACUUCAUCUCAUCGGAAACCCUGAAUGAUUGGUAUUUGUGAGCAUGUGUGCCUGUGAGUGUGUAAGGGUGGAUGUGGGUGUGUGGGUAUGUAUGUGCGUAUGUGAGCGUGUGCGUGUCAUCUUACACGUAAUUUAGUGAAUGAGUGAAUAGGUACUAGUUUUCAAGUAAAUACGUGCAUGAGUGCGUGUAGUCAGUGGUGUAUGGAACUAGCAUUGUGCCUGCCUGCUGCCAACGAAAUAUGCAAGCCCACACAGAGAAAACAGUUUUAUUGUGCAAAACUUCAUGCUGCUGGCAGGGUUUACAUGCAAGUCACAUAUUGCAGGUCUACCAUAAGCAGAGCGAUGUGACAUCUGAUAAGUACCUAACUCACAGCAACACAUACUCUGCAUGUCCAGGGAAAGUGAGUUGUGCUCGGAACAGAUUGGCCAGACAGUUUUGUCCUAUCAAAUUCAGAAUUGUUUCAUCCUCCUCACAGUUGCCAUUAACAUCAUGAGCACACAUUAUUGCUAGAUCUGAAUGCCAGCUGCCUAUUGCACCGCUGGCACGUAUGUUUGAGACAAAGGUGCCGCCAGUUUUCCACCUCGCUGCUGAUACAAUGCAAUACUGCUACAAAAUGUCCGUGUUCAGUGUUUUUAGUGUUGUAUGUUUGUAUAUGAGUCUUGCGUCGUGUGAACAUUACCUACAUGAGUUUAAAGUGUUCCCGCGAAAGUAGGUACUGAAUUAGCUCAAGCCAGGAUUGCGUUGCGGAUAUAUUUGUAGGCCAUACAAUGUUUUAUGGCGUCAUUUACGACAUUUCCUGUUUUUCUUGUCGUUGUAUGCACGUGAGUUGUGCCGCAUGUUGCGCUUGCAAAUCAUGUUCUCAAUGUCAUUUUCUUUUGGUACAAUUGGUCACCACUACACAUCACUCGCAUACACUCGCCCAAGCAAGUCGGAUAUCAAUCACUGUCCAGAAGUGCAUGAUGCAUUCAACCACGCAUAGAACACUGGCACACCAAGAACAUGAACUCACGCAAAAACGAGAGGGCUAUCACACGACUUCGCAUUGGACACACCGCUAUCACACACAACUACAUCAUCACAAGAAGCCCGAGACCGAAAUGCAACACCUGCAACACUUUCAUCACUGUCAAACAUCUGCUACUCACAUGCCCACAAUACCGACACCACAGGACACACAUACAAACAUACUGCAGAGACGCCAACAUCCCACUAACACUCACAACACUGCUCGAGGACUUACACCCCGAGCUAACAACACUACUCAUCCACUAAAGACACAACACUGGGCUGAUCAAUGACCUGUAAAUCUCCUCCCCUAGAGCCAAGGACAAAAAAGCCAAAAAAGCCAAAAAAAGAAGCCAAAAAGAAAAAACAAUAUUCAAAACAAUGAGAAUCAAAAUAAAAGACCCCAGAAUGGCAAAAUGGCAAAAAAAAAAACAAAAACAAAAAAACAUAAUAGAAGGGGCAAUUCGGCUACCCGGGAGGAGAUAGCUAGGAACCCUGUCCCACCCCUCAGCCCACCCUUACGAGCCAAGAAGACGACGGACACUUCAAGACAACGGACGGACCAACAACGAAGACGGACGACAGAACCGGGCCCAAAUACAGGACGCUGUGGUGGCCCGUAAGCCACAAAUACCAUACCAUACCAUACCAGUGCAUCAUGCAGCAGAAGAAGCUUCAUUGAACACACUCGUCAUCAUGAACGGCAUCUAGGAGUUUCAUGAGUUUGGAUCUGUGACCAGUUGUUUUCGCAGUAUCCAAUAGCAACCGUGUAUGACCAGGUGCCGCUUGGACGCCUUGUCCAGCCACGUCUUCCGGGACUGUGUGAUGACUGCCUCUGCAAUCUCAAGUGCCAGUUUCUGCCUCCGGCCUAUUUCUUUAUCAAAGGAUGUUGGUAACUGAACGACCAGCUCUGCUCCAAGAUUCCAAAUCGUUUUACGGUAUUGUAUGCCUACAAAACGUUAGUAUUUGUUUUGGAGGCGGUAAUACUCGGAUGAACUGACCUUUAUGGGUGGGUAUUCAACGUUGAAUCAAGUAGGCUUGUAGCCAUCUGCCUAUUGACUUCUAAGGGUUUUAGUAAAAUUUAUAUAAUAUCUCAUCUGAAAUGCAUUUUCACUCUCAGUCGUCGAAAUUGAAAAAUCAUAAGCUUAGAAAUCCGCGGGCUUGACAUAUUAUAUUUUCUCGACGAUUCGUUUCGACUUGCCGACAUGUCAGCUAAUCAUCCGCUGCUUCUCCUAUUUUCACAGGUGCAUUACUCUCAAGUGCCAGUUUCUGCCUCCGGCCUAUUUCAUUAUCAAAGGAUGCUGUUAGCUGAACGAACAGCUCUGCUCCAAGAUUCCAAACGUUUUUACGGUAUUGUAUGCCUACAAAACGUUAGUAUUUGUUUUGGAGGCGGUAAUGCUCGGAUGAACUGACCUUUAUGGGUGGGUAUUCAACGUUGAAUCAAGUAGGCUUGUAGCCCUCUGCCUAUUGACUUCUAAGGGUUUUAGUAAAAUUUAUAUAAUAUCUCAUCUGAAAUGCAUUUUCACUCUCAGUCGUCGAAAUUGAAAAAUCAUAAGCUUAGAAAUCCGCGGGCUUGACAUAUUAUAUUUUCUGGACGAUUCGUUUCGACUUGCCGACAUGUCAGCUAAUCAUCCGCUGCUUCUCCUAUUUUCACAGGUGCAUUACCAGUCGUCUUUACCGUCGAUACCGUUGAAGAUUUUACCGUCGAUCAGGGAGCACCCAUUGCGCUGGCCGUUGCUGGCACUUUUUUAUUUGUCACUAGCUAUUAGUUAUCUGCACAUAUACAUUAGCCACCUGUGCACCCGGUUACACUAGCUCUCAUCAUCUAGUUCUACGUAUGUGUGUGUUUGUUUUAAUUGAAUUGCCAAUGAAUUCGGUAGACAUGCUCCGCCCGCAAACAUGUACCACAUGAUGCAGUCCACUGAAUGUAGCAGUUAAUCACUCGUAAAAAGCAGUCAGGUUUUCGUAUAGUGUAGGUUUGCAUCUAUGUAAGCAUGUGUUCACACUCAUGAGCGAUCGACACAUGAUAUUGCAUUUCCUGUUCAGUUACAUUUUUAGCACUGGAACACGAUGCUCAUACACUGUGUUGUUAUCUUUCUUUUUUCGCCUGCUCCUUCCUCCAACUUGUGUCUUUGAGUAUUUCAGUCACAUGCUCAAACGUUCUUAAAUGCUCUCGCCAUCGGUUUACGGAUGCGUUGAAAACGGACAUGUGUUGACCAAAUUUAACAAUAUGCGGACAAUGGAUCGACUUCUUGAAGCCUCUGGGCGUGAUACACCUUCUCCAUCACCAUCAAGAGAUCAACAUUUUCGAAGACACUUGCGUACGGCCGGUAUGUAUUCAUAUUUGAAUGUCCAUUGUCAACACGUUGCAGAAUGCUUUACAUUUUGUGUGAUCAUUUACUGUCCUCAUUCCUACACAAUGCCAACAUGUUUGUCAUCGUCUUCAUGUACCUAUCUAUUGGGAUUGAUGUUUGCGUUUACUGACAGACACUUGUCAACAUUUUCAGUAGUGUCCGGCGCAAUGCUGAAUGCGACCUGUUAUCUGUUGGAUCUACUCUGUGAGCCCGAACCCCAGUGCAAUGGCACUGUUCGACUACAGCGCUGGACGUCGUCUACUUUUUGCUAGAAGCAAAUGUCACCAUCCGUCCAUGAACUUCGGGCUGCUCACAGCUAUAUUGCCUUGGCAAGUUCUUUGAGCACUUAAUACUGGACUUGGGCUGCGAAAGCUAAUGACAAUUUGGGGAGCUUGAUAUUGCAAUGGCUAUGACGUGAAGGUCCAAUAUGGCGAACAGCUCGACUAUUCACCAUUGUCAACGCUUAUGAUAGCUAAAUAUCAUUGUGCUUGGUGUACAUUCACGUCUCGUUUCCUUGCUCCAUUUGUACCUCACCGGUCGUCCGUCCCCACAGGCCUCGGCUGCAGCACAAGCUACAUUCAUCGGCCCAAUCAUCAGUUAUUCGUCCUGCAAGUUUUAAGUCACUUCGUUGUGACCCGGACAUCGUCAUCUUUCAACGAGUUCAAAUGAUUAUUUCAUUCAUCAUCGUCGAUCAGACUCAUCAUGUAAAGACACUUCCAUAAUGCUAGCCGCCAUCUACGUUUGUGCAGGAAGCAAAUAUCAGGUUGUUAUUAGCUGCGGGCUACUCAGUACCGACUGAAGUACUGGCAGUAGUGUGCGAGCACCUAAUACGUGUAUUGUGAUACCAAAGCUAAAACGGAUGAUAGCUUAGCGCAUAGCGCCCUACCGCUUUCCACACACACACACAAACAAAACUUGACUUUGGGCAUUAGCACCAUGGCAGGAUAAACAGGCAGUUUCGCUGUUUUUCACUGCUUUCAUUGGCAGGUGUUACUGCUCAUUCCCGUUUUAUGUGAUGUUAGAACAGCCCUUCACCAUAGUCCUGUUUUCUCCUUUGCCGUUUUCCAUAGACAUCAGAUGCGACAUGCACUCCAACGAUCGGUCAGGCGCAUCACCGUCAAUCCGGUCGCCUGUUAAGCAGUUCGUAAUCACCGUCAGUCUUCGACAUCUGUCAACACACUUAUCCACAUUAUCGCCUUACUUUUGAUCUUAUCAAUAUGCAAGAAUGAGUGCAAAAUGCAUUCCAAUAUUGCAUCAGUUGAUGUUGUAUCGCAAUGACACCGCGUCCUCACCUCACAUCUGUUGUGCAUACUUGAUCACGAAUGCCAGUUAUACGCAGAUUCACAUGGUGAAGUUUUACUCCGUUGACGUUUUCUUUCAAUACUUGUA
Long non-coding RNA from Amphibalanus amphitrite, 6452 nucleotides. RefSeq lists it as uncharacterized. The transcript has 3 exons. NCBI's taxonomy places the organism in Eukaryota, Metazoa, Arthropoda, Thecostraca, Balanomorpha, Balanidae. The record is from RefSeq and is a predicted model, not a curated record.